UGUUCCCGGAUGCCGUGUUCCAGGAAGAAGAUUCCCUUCCCGCAGCGAGGACGCGGGUACCCCUCACCCAGCUCGACGGCGUACUUCUCCUCCAAGGCGGUGGGCUACCAUCUCUGCAGACAGAAGCUUGCUAGAUGUUCUCCGGUCAUGCAGCCAUUCAGGGGAAGCAAAACGGUGGAGACUGGAGACUGACGUCAUCAACAUCGGUAUGAAAGCUUACAUAUAUUGGUGAAGGGAUAUAUGGUACAAGUCUCGGAAUGUGGUGAAGCACUUCUUAUGCAUCAUAACAUGUUGUUUCAAAGAGAUUUGAUGUGGUACGUAUUAGAACGCCAUUUUGAUACUCUUAAGCUCAGUCAUCCCGUUUUAAAUCAUAUUCUUGCAUUAAAAUACACAUUACCCUUCCAUGUUGUAAUUAGAUGAAUUCGGCCCCUUCGCUUUUUUUUUUCUUUGAACUUAAUUUUUCGUAUGCAUGAUUUCUGCUCAUUUUACCGGUAGAUUUGUUAAUUAAUGGUACACAUAUAUGUUGUUGCAUCUGUUGUGUUUCCUCCUUGCUUACUUCUGAUUUUAUAUAGAAACUUGACAUGGUCAAUUAUUGUUAUAAAUACAAUUUCUGAAUGUGAUGGGAAGAUCCAUCAAAGUAACAUGUACCAUUUUCCUGUUUCUUCAUUGUGUGCCUACCUAGGCUCACACUAUAUGCAAUCUUGAAUCAAGAUUCAGUAUCAUGUGCCACCUUCACCUACUUAGAAAAUAAUAGCAGGUGGUAGACAACGU
Long non-coding RNA from Lolium rigidum, 771 nucleotides. RefSeq lists it as uncharacterized. The transcript has 3 exons. The record is from RefSeq and is a predicted model, not a curated record. Lineage: Eukaryota; Viridiplantae; Streptophyta; Magnoliopsida; Poales; Poaceae.